This is a small nucleolar RNA of Talpa occidentalis (Iberian mole), 77 nucleotides long. RefSeq annotates it as small nucleolar RNA SNORD103/SNORD85. The transcript has a single exon. The record is from RefSeq and is a predicted model, not a curated record. Lineage: Eukaryota; Metazoa; Chordata; Mammalia; Eulipotyphla; Talpidae.
ACUGGCAAGGAUGACAUUUACUUGCCCUCACUGAGAUCAUAGUUCACUGAUGAGAGCACUAAUUGUUCUGAGCCAGU